CUGACGCUAAAGCACGAAAGUGUGGGGAGCAAACAGGAUUAGAUACCCUGGUAGUCCACACCCUAAACGAUGAAUACUAGAUGUUGGUCUUUUUUAAGAUCAGUAUCCAAGCUAACGCAUUAAGUAUUCCACCUGGGAAGUACAAUCGCAAGGUUGAAACUCAAAGGAAUUGACGGGGGCCCGCACAAGCAGUGGAGCAUGUGGUUUAAUUCGACGCAACGCGAAGAACCUUACCUAGGCUUGAAACGCAAGCUAAUCCCGAUGAAAGUCGGAGUACCGCAAGGUGAGCUUGUACAGGUGCUGCAUAGCUGUCGUCAGCUCGUGCCGUGAGGUGUUGGGUUAAGUCCCGCAACGAGCGCAACCCUCGUUCUUAGUUGCCAUCAGAUAAUGCUGAGCACUCUAAGAAGACUGCCUACGCAAGUAGUGAGGAAGGUGGGGAUGAUGUCAAGUCCGCAUGGCCCUUACGCCUAGGGCCACACACGUGCUACAAUGGCCAUUACAAAGGGCUGCAAUACCGCGAGGUGGAGCUAAUCCCUAAAAAAUGGUCUCAGUUCGGAUUGGAGUCUGCAACUCGACUCCAUGAAGCUGGAAUUGCUAGUAAUCGCGCAUCAGCACGGCGCGGUGAAUACGUUCCCGGGCCUUGUACACACCGCCCGUCAAGCCAUGGAAGUUGGGGGUACCCAAAGUCGCC
RNAcentral lists this ribosomal RNA (691 nucleotides) under uncultured soil bacterium. Its description in RNAcentral is "bacterial SSU rRNA". It matches the Rfam family "Bacterial small subunit ribosomal RNA", at positions 740 to 1431 of the family's 1533-position model. The record is from RNAcentral.